RNAcentral lists this ribosomal RNA (468 nucleotides) under uncultured bacterium. Its description in RNAcentral is "partial 16S ribosomal RNA". It matches the Rfam family "Bacterial small subunit ribosomal RNA", at positions 28 to 507 of the family's 1533-position model. The record is from RNAcentral.
GACGACCGCUGGCGGCGUGCUUCACACAUGCAAGUCGAACGGAAAGGCCCUGCUUUUGUGGGGAGCUCGCGUGGCGAACGGGCUAGUAAAACGUGAGUAACCUGCCCUUGAUUUUAGGAUAACUUCAGGAAACUCGGGCUAAUACCGGAUAGGAGUUCCUGCAGCAUAGUGGGGGUUGGAUAGUUUCGGCGGUUGGGGAUGGACUCGCGGCUUAUCAGCUUGUUGGUGGGGUAGUGGCUUACCAAGGCUUUGACGGGUAGCCGGCCUGAGAGGGUGACCGGCCACAUUGGGACUGAGAUACGGCACAGACUCCUACGGGGGGGAGCAGUCGGGAUAAAUGCACAAUGGGCGGAAGCCUGAUGCAGGAACGCGGCGAGCGGGAUGACGGCCUUCGGGUUGUAGGAGGCUUUCGCCAGGGACGAAGCGUGAGUGUGGUUAAUGGGUAGAGAGACACGGGGUAAAGACAUG